UCUGAGUCCCACCUCUUGGAAAAAUAUAUUCAUUUUGGAGAAAUCUAAGUGUUGAGUUCGCUCUUCACAAGACUAGAUUUCAUCCCUCAACGAUUUUUUCAAGUUCUACCUCUUGGAAAAAUAUAUUCAUUUU
Molecule: small RNA, 133 nt
Filed under: Arabidopsis thaliana (thale cress)
Lineage: Eukaryota; Viridiplantae; Streptophyta; Magnoliopsida; Brassicales; Brassicaceae
Description: ATSL089260
Source: RNAcentral